UACAGAGGGUGCGAGCGUUAAUCGGAAUUACUGGGCGUAAAGGGCGCGUAGGCGGUUAUUUAAGUUAGAUGUGAAAUCCCUGGGCUUAACCUAGGAACUGCAUCUGAUACUGGAUGGCUGGAGUGUGGUAGAGGGUAGUGGAAUUUCCGGUGUAGCGGUGAAAUGCGUAGAUAUCGGAAGGAACACCAGUGGCGAAGGCGGCUACCUGGACCAACACUGACGCUGAGGCGCGAGAGCGUGGGUAGCAAAC
This 250-nucleotide ribosomal RNA is filed under the name uncultured bacterium. Its description in RNAcentral is "partial 16S ribosomal RNA". It matches the Rfam family "Bacterial small subunit ribosomal RNA", at positions 524 to 773 of the family's 1533-position model. The record is from RNAcentral.